CGGCUCAGUAACACGUGGAUAACCUGCCCUUGGGUCCGGCAUAACCCCGGGAAACUGGGGAUAAUUCCGGAUAACGCACAUAUGCUGGAAUGCUUUAUGCGUCAAAUGGAUUCGUCCGCCCAAGGAUGGGUCUGCGGCCUAUCAGGUAGUAGUGGGUGUAAUGUACCUACUAGCCUACGACGGGUACGGGUUGUGAGAGCAAGAGCCCGGAGAUGGAUUCUGAGACAUGAAUCCAGGCCCUACGGGGCGCAGCAGGCGCGAAAACUUUACAAUGCGGGAAACCGUGAUAAGGGGACACCGAGUGCCAGCAUCAUAUGCUGGCUGUCCGGGUGUGUAAAAUACACCUGUUAGCAAGGGCCGGGCAAGACCGGUGCCAGCCGCCGCGGUAACACCGGCGGCCCGAGUGGUGAUCGUGAUUAUUGGGUCUAAAGGGUCCGUAGCCGGUUUGGUCAGUCCUCCGGGAAAUCUGACGGCUCAACCGUUAGGCUUUCGGGGGAUACUGCCAGACUUGGAACCGGGAGAGGUAAGAGGUACUACAGGGGUAGGAGUGAAAU
RNAcentral lists this ribosomal RNA (554 nucleotides) under uncultured Methanosarcina sp. RNAcentral's name for it is "bacterial SSU rRNA". It matches the Rfam family "Archaeal small subunit ribosomal RNA", at positions 83 to 638 of the family's 1478-position model. The record is from RNAcentral. Lineage: Archaea; Methanobacteriati; Methanobacteriota; Methanomicrobia; Methanosarcinales; Methanosarcinaceae.